GUACUGGUGAAGAGUCCCAAACUAGGACUAAACAGCUGUCCGGUAC
RNAcentral lists this non-coding RNA (46 nucleotides) under Trichobilharzia regenti. The record is from RNAcentral. Lineage: Eukaryota; Metazoa; Platyhelminthes; Trematoda; Strigeidida; Schistosomatidae.